RNAcentral lists this ribosomal RNA (468 nucleotides) under uncultured bacterium. RNAcentral describes it as "partial 16S ribosomal RNA". It matches the Rfam family "Bacterial small subunit ribosomal RNA", at positions 28 to 507 of the family's 1533-position model. The record is from RNAcentral.
GACGAACGCUGGCGGCGUGCUUAACACAUGCAAGUCGAACGGAAAGGCCCUGCUUUUGUGGGGUGCUCGAGUGGCGAACGGGUGAGUAACACGUGAGUAACCUGCCCUUGACUUUGGGAUAACUUCAGGAAACUGGGGCUAAUACCGGAUAGGAGCUCCUGCUGCAUGGUGGGGGUUGGAAAGUUUCGGCGGUUGGGGAUGGACUCGCGGCUUAUCAGCUUGUUGGUGGGGUAGUGGCUUACCAAGGCUUUGACGGGUAGCCGGCCUGAGAGGGUGACCGGCGACAUUGGGACUGAGAGACGGCGCAGACGCGUACGGGAGACAGCAGGGGGGAAUAUUGCACAAUGGGCGGAAGCCUGAUGCAGCAACGCCGCGUGCGGGAUGACGGCCUUCGCGUUGUAAACCGCUUUCGCCUGUGACGAAGCGUGAGUGACGGUAAUGGGUAAAGAAGCACCGGCUAACUACGUG